Molecule: transfer-messenger RNA, 384 nt
Filed under: Spirochaetia
Lineage: Bacteria; Pseudomonadati; Spirochaetota
Also listed under: 1 other name
Description: Thiospirochaeta sp016936295 Standard tmRNA
Rfam family: transfer-messenger RNA
About the family: Bacterial tmRNA, also known as 10Sa RNA or SsrA, is named for its dual tRNA and mRNA-like properties. Its role is to liberate the mRNA from a stalled ribosome. To accomplish this part of the tmRNA is used as a reading frame that ends in a translation stop signal.
Source: RNAcentral
GGGGGUGCCCUGGAUUCGACUGGCGGAUUGUAGUUUAAUGGGCUGCAAGUAGAGCGACUAACUCUUAAAACUGGUCAAAAAUAUAAAUGCUAAAAAAGAAGACGAAAUUAUCAUCGCUUUAGGUGAUAACGAAUCAUUAGCACUAGCAGCAUAGUCUGCUACGGGAAGAUUUAGUCGCUAUUCCUAGGCUUUUUCAACCUGUAAGAAAUAGGAAUGUACUUUGUAUAAUUGUCUAAGUUAUACUUAGGAAAAUCAAUUAGACUGUGGUUAAAGAACGGUUGCCUUCUCCUGUAACUUUAUCCAAGAUCAACUGAGAGGACUAAACUUGUAGAGGUUUAUUAGACACCCGUUAGGACGAGGGUUCGAUUCCCUCCACCUCCAUCC